GUGCCAUUAGCUCAGCUGGAAGAGCACUUGACUCUUAAUCAAGGGGCCCAGGGUUCGAAACCCUGAUGGCGCACCA
RNAcentral lists this transfer RNA (76 nucleotides) under Clostridium senegalense. RNAcentral describes it as "tRNA-Lys". It matches the Rfam family "tRNA". From Rfam's summary of the family: Transfer RNA (tRNA) molecules are approximately 80 nucleotides in length. RNAcentral also lists the same sequence under 1 other name. Lineage: Bacteria; Bacillati; Bacillota; Clostridia; Eubacteriales; Clostridiaceae. The record is from RNAcentral.